Molecule: ribosomal RNA, 466 nt
Filed under: Vreelandella stevensii
Lineage: Bacteria; Pseudomonadati; Pseudomonadota; Gammaproteobacteria; Oceanospirillales; Halomonadaceae
Description: partial 16S ribosomal RNA
Rfam family: Bacterial small subunit ribosomal RNA
Source: RNAcentral
CCUACGGGAGGCUGCAGUGGGGAAUAUUGGACAAUGGGCGAAAGCCUGAUCCAGCCAUGCCGCGUGUGUGAAGAAGGCCUUCGGGUUGUAAAGCACUUUCAGUGGGGAAGAAAGCCUUGGGGCUAAUACCCUCGAGGAAGGACAUCACCCACAGAAGAAGCACCGGCUAACUCCGUGCCAGCAGCCGCGGUAAUACGGAGGGUGCGAGCGUUAAUCGGAAUUACUGGGCGUAAAGCGCGCGUAGGCGGUCUGAUAAGCCGGUUGUGAAAGCCCCGGGCUCAACCUGGGAACGGCAUCCGGAACUGUCAGGCUAGAGUGCAGGAGAGGAAGGUAGAAUUCCCGGUGUAGCGGUGAAAUGCGUAGAGAUCGGGAGGAAUACCAGUGGCGAAGGCGGCCUUCUGGACUGACACUGACGCUGAGGUGCGAAAGCGUGGGUAGCAAACAGGAUUAGAUACCCGUGUAGUCC